Molecule: long non-coding RNA, 546 nt
Organism: Electrophorus electricus (electric eel)
Lineage: Eukaryota; Metazoa; Chordata; Actinopteri; Gymnotiformes; Gymnotidae
Source: RefSeq, a predicted model, not a curated record
UUAACCUUAAUGAAGGCCACCUGACAUGGGCGUCUGGUCCUGGUCUGGUUCCGCUAUUUAAAGCCCGUCCACGCUUCUAAACAGUAUAUGGUCGUUUUGUAUUUGGUAGAGUAGUAUUAUGGGUGUGGUAAGACUCUUUGUUUUCAGCGUGCUGCUCGUCGUCCUUUGUGUCGCGUCCGCUUCUCGGCGUGAGCAACAGCAGCAAAAUGACGCAGACCAGCUGCUGUCACGAACUGCCAGACAGUUGGGAGGUUAUGGGAGGCCGUGUCACAUGGAGCCACCCUUGAAUAAGUAUGAUGGUUCAGGCAUUGAAUAUCCUGAAACGAAGGGGCAUUAGCAACUGAGGACUUGACCAUUUACAGGAUGGAUUACUUUGGAGUCUCCUGUGCCAUCAACUUGCCAUUAAGCUCUACCAUAUUCAGCAACCCCCCUUUUUUUUUUUAAAGAGGAAAAAAAAAAGAAAAUUGGCCUUUGGUCUGUGGAUGAGAUCAUGGGCUCAAGUGUUGGCAGUGUAGAUGUACAGACUGAAUAAAUAUUUUUGCUCAA